RNAcentral lists this ribosomal RNA (253 nucleotides) under uncultured bacterium. RNAcentral describes it as "partial 16S ribosomal RNA". It matches the Rfam family "Bacterial small subunit ribosomal RNA", at positions 524 to 776 of the family's 1533-position model. The record is from RNAcentral.
UACGGGGGGGGCAAGCGUUGUUCGGAAUUACUGGGCGUAAAGGGCUUGUAGGUGGCCAACUAAGUCAGACGUGAAAUCCCUCGGCUUAACCGGGGAACUGCGUCUGAUACUGGAUGGCUUGAGUGUGGGAGAGGGAUGCGGAAUUCCCGGUGUAGUGGUGAAAUGCGUAGAUAUCGGGAGGAACACCAGUGGCGAAGGCGGCUUCCUGGCCUGUUCUUGACGCUGAGGCGCGAAAGCUAGGGGAGCAAACGGG